Long non-coding RNA from Nelumbo nucifera (sacred lotus), 912 nucleotides. RefSeq lists it as uncharacterized. NCBI's taxonomy places the organism in Eukaryota, Viridiplantae, Streptophyta, Magnoliopsida, Proteales, Nelumbonaceae. The record is from RefSeq and is a predicted model, not a curated record.
UGUAAUCGGUCAUUCAGCAUGAACGUUGUUAGCUAUUCCUCCAUUCAAAACGAUUUUCCCUUUUCCUUUCCCUUCUUUCCCGCGUCUCUCUACCCAAAUCGAGCUCACCGAACCCCUGUUCUGUUCUCCUCUCCAACUAGUGAAGACAAAAGGCAUCAUCGGCGGUCCGUCCUCCACCGGCGACCGGCAACAGAACCGAUAUUCCGUCGGCGACGAACGACUUCAUCUGCAACUAAUCCUUGGGCGACCGGUGAUAAAUCUUGGUGCAGAGAUGAGUUCUCAAUCGACAUCUCAGAGCACAUCUUAUAAGAAAUUGAAGUAUCCAUCAAGAAUUUGUGAUUGUGGAAAGAAAUGUGUAAUCCACAUGUCGGAGACAAAUUUGAACCCACAAAGGUUGUUUUAUAAUUGUCUCGGAAUCAUGGAAAAGAAAGUCAAAGUGGCGUUUUGCAAUUAUUUUGAAUGGCCAUUUCCUACAACCACUUCCGAUGAAGCUACAUCAUCAAUGAAUGUAGGACAUGCAGUAACUCACGCUAAAGAGAUCAAUAGGUUAUUAUUUGAAUUGAAUAGGUGUGUGUAAUCAAUGGAGUCUUCGAAGGAUCAUCAAUAGCUACUUUCUAAAGAAUUGAAGAGGAUACGAGUUUUGCUCAUUAUUUUUAUAAUUGGGUUUCUUGUGGUGUAUAUGUUCAACAAAUAGCAGUUAGGAACUAUGUUUGCAGUAGAAAUGUAUUUUGACCAAGACUCUAGUAUUUAUGAUCAGGAAAUAUGUGUAUUUAUGUUAGGGAUGAGCAUUGGACUCAAAUGGCAUUCAGCCAUUUAUAUGUAUUUAAGCUUUUAGUUUGAUAUAUGUUGAACCAUGUAUAUGUAUUCAAUCAUGUUGGAAGCUGAAUUGGUAGUAGACCUAGUUUGGUAGUA